AAAGAAGGUGACUGAGCCAGGAGGAGAGCACAGAUGGCUUGGUGGUGGUAUGGUGUGGUCCUCCUUCCCCUUCCCUCUUAGGCAUGGGGAGUGGAGCAACAGACGGAGAGUGGCAUGAAGACACAAAGGAGGAAGCACACCAUUGCCAAGACCCCAAGGAAGAAGGAUGGAAAGCGCUGGCAGUCCUGCCUGGCCCCCAGCCAGUUCCCUGCUGAAGAUGGCCAGAUCCCCUUGUCUGGUGUGCCUGCACAGGAGACAGCACCAGCCAAGCUGAUUGUAUAUCUACAGCGUUUCCGGCCUCAAGACUAUCAGCGCCUGCUAGAAGUGAACAGCUCCAGAGAGAGGCCACAGGAGACUGAAGAUCCUGACCACUGCCUGGGCUAGGGGUGUCACUUCCUGGAAGGGGAAGGGAACUCUGGGUCUAACGGAGUCCACUCCUGGGCCCACUGUGCCUCUCCCCUCAGUGUCCCUUCUGACAGUGACUCCUCUCUCUCCAGCGCUGCCUGUUUCUUCCCCCUCCUCUAAGCUACUCUUCCUUGAGCCCUCCCUGGCUGCUUCCUCUCGCUCAUCCGUCAGAUGCAAUCUGUGGGCCGCCCCUCUCCCCUGGCCGCUAAGCAGCCUCCAUUGAUUUCCGCUCGUGUUUAUAGGAUUUCCACUUAGCCGUGAUCAGUAGUUAAGCACAGGAAAAUCCCUUGCCACCCCCCCUCCCUUGGUCGAUGCCAUUGAUUCUGCCAGCGGCUCCUAAACCGCCUUACAGCUGAGUUAGAAGAUGAGGAGAGGCAGCAGGGAUUUCCCUGCCUUGGGGUGUGGGAAACAGAAGAAAGUUGAGGAAAUGGUUGGGAAUCGCUGUUAGAACUCUAGAAAUUCUAAUCUGACUUUGCCACUGUGCCCAGCUCUGGCCCAGAGGGUAGAGUGCCUCCUGUGGAAGUUUAGGGGCAAAUUUGUUCCCUGACCUGGAGAGGGUUAGAAAGAACCAACAGCUGCCCCCUCCCCGCCCCCGUGUUGAGACAGGUUCUCAAGGCUCAGGGGAAGAUGCAUACCUCCUAUGUAAGAAUGCUUUUCCCUUGCUGUUAUUCAUACACACUUUCCACUUCAAAUAUACCCAAAUAUGGCUUUCCUCACUUCUCAGGCUUUAUUGGGCUUUAUUUGUGGGAGAAGGGGGCUGGUCCCCAGUUUUUGCAGUGCAAAGCCAGAGCGCCACCUGCUGGUAGCCCUCAGGUGUAGGUUCGAAGCUGCUGGGGCCCCCUGGGGUUUGGGACACAGGAGAAUUUCAGGCUGUGAGUGGAGACAGUUACUGCCACGAUUCCACAGGCAAGUUGUUCACCUCAAAGAUCUCCUGCACCGACUGGUGAAAGUGGUCGUAGGUGAGGCGCAGCUUUAGCCGCAGGGGGGCCUAGGAAUAGGAGAGCAGGGACCAGGGUUAGCACCCACGGCUUCUUCUAUCCCUGGGUCUUGUCUUGGGGGAACUCCUGAAGCUCACCUUGUUAGGAUUGAGGAUUCUGAAGAGCUGGGUGAUAGGAAGGCCACCCCGAGCUGGAACUGUGUUCCCACUGGGGGCCUGCAGCUGCAGCUGGAGACUCUGAACACAGGAGUUUAACAGAGCACAGUAUGGCAGUAGGUAGGGCUCAGGCAGCCCCUCUAUACUCAGUGGCUCCACACCCUUUUCCUGUAACUCCCCAAGUGCUGAUCUCCAGAUGACUCAAUCCCAUCUCACACUGUCUCCCACCCAUCUCCUCCACUUAGUGGCCUUUUCUCCUGGAGUCCCCAGGCCACCUCUGAACUCUGAUCUUUACAAACCUUGGGCACAGCAGCCUGGCAGAUGAAAUGGGUGACAUCACCCUCUGAGAAGUUGGUGGCAGUGACGGUGAUUAACAGCAAAGCAGGGUUUUCAGGGGGUCGAAUGAAAGACAGAUUCAGCUGUACUCCCUCACGCUCAAACACUUUGAGAUCUGGGAUGGGAGCUGGAGUAGGGAGACAGAGGCAGCUCAGUGUGCAGGUUUGAGAGAACAUGUUUGUUCAUUCAUUCAACAAAAAUUGAGCAAACACCUGCUGGCCCUGCACUACUCGAAAGGCUAGUAACAAAGUAGACAUGUAGAUGAGGAUGGAGCUUACUGUCUAAUGGGGGAGAGAAACAAUAAAAAAAGGCCGGGCAUGGUGGCUCAUGCCUGUAAUCCCAGCACUUUGGGAAGCUGAGGCGGGUGGAUCACCUGAGGCCCGGACUUGGGAGGCUGAGACACAAGAACAGCUUGAACCCGGGAGGCAGAGGUUGCAGUGAGCCGAGAUCACGCCACUGCACUCCAGCCUGGGUGACAGAGCAAGACGCUGUCUC
RNAcentral lists this non-coding RNA (2329 nucleotides) under Pan troglodytes (chimpanzee). The record is from RNAcentral. Lineage: Eukaryota; Metazoa; Chordata; Mammalia; Primates; Hominidae.